GUACACGCUGUGACUAGCAUAUCAAUAAGCGGAGGAAAAGAAACUAACAAGGAUUCCCCUAGUAACGGCGAGUGAAGCGGGAAGAGCUCAAAUUUGAAAUCUUAAAGGGUUUCCCUUUACGAAUUGUAGUUUAAAGAAGUGUUUUCUGUUGAGGUUUUGGUAAAAGUUCUUUGGAAUAGGACAUCAUAGAGGGUGAGAAUCCCGUAUUUGACCUUUACUUUCAACUUUGUGAUAUACUUUCAAAGAGUCGGAUUGUUUGGGAAUGCAGUCCAAAAUGGGUGGUAAAUUUCAUCUAAAGCUAAAUAUUGGCGAGAGACCGAUAGCGAACAAGUACCGUGAGGGAAAGAUGAAAAGAACUCUGAAAAGAGAGUUAAACAGUACGUGAAAUUGUCAAAAGGGAAGCGUUUGACACCAGUGUUGUUUUUCUGAAAAUCAAUUAAAGAACUGUUUAUGCUAUGUUGUUUAGACUUUAUCAGCUAACUGUUUAGUUUUGAGCUUUUCUUUAAUGCACUUUUCAGUUAACAAGUCAACAUCAAUUUCUUUUGCUGUAAAAAAGCUUGAGGAAGGUGGCUUGAGAUUCGUCUUAAGUGUUUAUAGCCUCUUGCCUAUGCAGUCGGAGAGAUUGAGGUCUGCAGCGUAGAUCCUUCGGGGCUAAAUGCAUUUGUGCUAAGUUAUAGCAUUUUAUAGACAACUUGUUGACUAUGAUUUGUCUUGUAGCUUACUCGCUUAUGUUAUUUUACCUACGCUUAGGAUGUUGACAGCAGUAUAGACUGU
Molecule: ribosomal RNA, 774 nt
Filed under: uncultured Neocallimastigales
Lineage: Eukaryota; Fungi; Neocallimastigomycota; Neocallimastigomycetes; Neocallimastigales
Description: partial large subunit ribosomal RNA
Rfam family: Eukaryotic large subunit ribosomal RNA
Source: RNAcentral